This 206-nucleotide long non-coding RNA is filed under the name Mytilus galloprovincialis (Mediterranean mussel). The record is from RNAcentral. Lineage: Eukaryota; Metazoa; Mollusca; Bivalvia; Mytilida; Mytilidae.
UUUCUUAGACAGAUUUUGUACUAAACUCUCAUUAUGAACUGCGCCCAAUUUGGCAGUGAAAAUUUAAAGAAAUGUAACUGCACUCAACUCUGCAGUACAUUGAUAAUUUUAAUAAAGGGUUUUGAUUUACAGUGUCUAAGGGACAUAACUUUGUUCAAAAUAUUAAAUAAUGUUCUCAACUUCGGUGUAAAUUAAAAAUUUUAAUA